GAAGUAAAAGUCGUAACAAGGUCUCCGUAGGUGAACCUGCGGAGGGAUCAUUACUGAGUGAGGGCCUUCGGGCUCGACCUCCAACCCUUUGUGAACACAACUUGUUGCUUCGGGGGCGACCCUGCCGUUUCGACGGCGAGCGCCCCCGGAGGCCUUCAAACACUGCAUCUUUGCGUCGGAGUUUAAGUAAAUUAAACAAAACUUUCAACAACGGAUCUCUUGGUUCUGGCAUCGAUGAAGAACGCAGCGAAAUGCGAUAAGUAAUGUGAAUUGCAGAAUUCAGUGAAUCAUCGAAUCUUUGAACGCACAUUGCGCCCCUUGGUAUUCCGAGGGGCAUGCCUGUUCGAGCGUCAUUUCACCACUCAAGCCUCGCUUGGUAUUGGGCGCCGCGGUGUUCCGCGCGCCUCAAAGUCUCCGGCUGAGCUGUCCGUCUCUAAGCGUUGUGAUUUCAUUAAUCGCUUCGGAGCGCGGGCGGUCGCGGCCGUUAAAUCUUUCACAAGGUUGACCUCGGAUCAGGUAGGGAUACCCGCUGAACUUAAGCAUAUC
This 546-nucleotide ribosomal RNA is filed under the name Cercospora piaropi. Its description in RNAcentral is "eukaryotic LSU rRNA". The stretch from base 200 to 353 matches the Rfam family "5.8S ribosomal RNA". Lineage: Eukaryota; Fungi; Ascomycota; Dothideomycetes; Mycosphaerellales; Mycosphaerellaceae. The record is from RNAcentral.